This 460-nucleotide ribosomal RNA is filed under the name Staphylococcus aureus. RNAcentral describes it as "partial 23S ribosomal RNA". It matches the Rfam family "Bacterial large subunit ribosomal RNA", at positions 2463 to 2925 of the family's 2925-position model. The record is from RNAcentral. Lineage: Bacteria; Bacillati; Bacillota; Bacilli; Caryophanales; Staphylococcaceae.
CUACCCCGGGGAUAACAGGCUUAUCUCCCCCAAGAGUUCACAUCGACGGGGAGGUUUGGCACCUCGAUGUCGGCUCAUCGCAUCCUGGGGCUGUAGUCGGUCCCAAGGGUUGGGCUGUUCGCCCAUUAAAGCGGUACGCGAGCUGGGUUCAGAACGUCGUGAGACAGUUCGGUCCCUAUCCGUCGUGGGCGUAGGAAAUUUGAGAGGAGCUGUCCUUAGUACGAGAGGACCGGGAUGGACAUACCUCUGGUGUACCAGUUGUCGUGCCAACGGCAUAGCUGGGUAGCUAUGUGUGGACGGGAUAAGUGCUGAAAGCAUCUAAGCAUGAAGCCCCCCUCAAGAUGAGAUUUCCCAACUUCGGUUAUAAGAUCCCUCAAAGAUGAUGAGGUUAAUAGGUUCGAGGUGGAAGCAUGGUGACAUGUGGAGCUGACGAAUACUAAUCGAUCGAAGACUUAAUCAA